UCAGAAAGACAUAAGACUGUAAAGGAGGAGGAACACUCACCUUGGCCACCAUGUCCGCCCCCUCCUAGCGGGCAACUACGGUGCAGUGGCUUUGGCUGCGUUGUUUUUGUGUCCUAGCAUGUGAUGUGUGCCCCCUAGGGCAUUCUGUUAGAGGGAAAGGUCCAUCUCUUUCAUUAUUGUGGCGUCUUUGAACUGGAAGCGUGGCUUGCCUCCUCUGUUCUGGGGACAUUCCAGUAUGACCUACUACAUAUUCUCCAUCAGAAGGUACAGUCUGCAGAAAGUGAAGUCCUGAACUUGUUAAAGGUGUUUCAAUUAGAUCUUGCCAAGAACGUCUUUCCCUGUAACUGGGCCUGCACCCAGAGGAAUGUGUACUUCCAGUGGCAUCCUGUCUUGAAUCUUCAGCAGAAGAGUGGGAAUAUGUUGACUCACUUGAAAAAUGGCGCCCGUGCUUUGGCUCAGGAAAUGGACUGGAUGAAUUAACCUGUAUUAAGAUUUUAGGUUAAAAGAGAACUAUCACAGAGAUGAAAAUGUUAUAAAAACUUUUAUUUCACUAAAAUAAGAAACUUUCUGAAUAUAAUUAAUUUCAAAAUUCUUUAUUGUUUUUGAAGUAAGUUACUGUUCCCUGUAUCCUCUCUCAGCAAUGUGUCCCUUUACAUUCUCUUUUCAUAUAGGUGUGAGAGUCAGAUAUUGUCUAACAGGUCCAAUACAUCCUUUUGGGGGUGCACUGAAAAUUUAGUAGAGUAAUAAAGUAACCAAUUCCAACAGAAAUACUGUA
Xenopus tropicalis (tropical clawed frog) is the source of this 775-nucleotide long non-coding RNA. RefSeq lists it as uncharacterized. The record is from RefSeq and is a predicted model, not a curated record. The transcript is spliced from 2 exons. NCBI's taxonomy places the organism in Eukaryota, Metazoa, Chordata, Amphibia, Anura, Pipidae.